CCCCUUCUCAACCCUCAGCAAGUCGCCAGCCAUCCGAGUACGGAGUCGAGUUAGGGGUCCAAGUGGUUCCCAGGCUAGAGCUACGUCGGGGCAGUCAGACCUAUGUAGACAGAGACUAACCGAUGCAGACAAACAGACGGACGCCACACCCUGCACUUACGGUAGCACAUAGCCCAAGUGGAUGGAGAGGGAAGCUUACGUCUACAAACUGCCACUUUAGCCCUCUUUCUGUGACUGACGAACCCAAGUCCGCGCUGGAUGAUCUGGACCUCAUUCUUGAACUCAGCGGGGGCAGACACUUGCAUGGAAGCCGUUCAUCACUUUAGGCAGAUUAGAGCCUGGCAGGGCGCUGGACCGGUAGGGGAUCACAGUGAGAAAUCGCAGAGGAGCAACAGAGGAACAUUUCCUGCCCUACAGGGCAGCACUGCCAAGAGAUCCUCUUCGGCAUUCGGCAGCGAUUCCAACCGAAGGCUCCCAGGCUCCUGUGACGGACAAAGAAGCAGUGAGAGCUCUCAGGCCCGAGCUGGAGGUAGAGGGACCCCACCAUCUCAGAGGUUGGGAAAGGGACGGCUGCCUGCGCUCAGUCCUGUGAUAACUAGCCUUACCUUGACUCCAAUCCUCCCUGGAGCCCAGAGGAAGCCUAUGAAUGAAGAGAUGCCUGGCACGUUUUGUGAAUGGGAUACUGGAAUGACUGGAGGCUGACGUAAUUUGAGCACCUAGGCUUUCAAGUCCUACCUCAGAUUGGGUGGAUUGGUCAAGAGGCUUUCUGAUUGGCUGGCAAGAGCUUUUCAACCGCCUACACUCAUCUGCCUGGCGGUAGAUAUAAACCAUGAAGGCUUCAGCAUUGGACAGCAACAGGAUUAGAAGCUCAACUCCAGCAGAAACCUGCCUCUCAGCUACCAGGGCUGCAGUUCUUCAGGAAACCUUGCUUCCCCAGAGGACGAGAUGAUCCUCCUAAAGCUCUCUUCCUUCUUGGCUUUCUUUGCCUUGGUUGUGUGCCAGAUGGACAGCCUCCAGGCUGCUCCAUUCAGGCCUGGUUUUGAGUCUGCCAUGCCAGACCACGUGACUCUCAGUGAUGAUGAAGCUCGGCACCUGCUGAAUGCUUUGGUGAAGGAGUUUGUGCAGAUGAAAGCUGACGAGCUGGAUCAGGUGACUGAGGACAACAGUGUCACUGCUCAGAAACGAGGCUGCAACACUGCCACCUGCGUGACCCACCGGUUAGCCGAUUUCCUAAGCAGGUCUGGAGGAGUGGCCAAGAGUGACUUUGUACCAACCAAUGUUGGGGCUAAAGCAUUUGGUAGACGGCGGAGGGACAUCUAGGCAUUGGGCUGAACCCAGGAGGAUGAUCGUGGAGAAACUGAAUCUCCGUGGCUAACUUAAUUUUUAAUGAAAGCAACUUUCCUCCAUGAAGCUCGAAGGCCAAGUGGAUACCCUGAGUUUUUUGCCUCCUCCUAGAGAUGGAUGAAUAUUUUUCUUUGUUCGAAACUGCUGUCAUGUAUAAUAUGAAAUGAGCUAAUUCUGGUUAAUUAUUGUACAUUCUUUUUUAUAUGCGAUUCUAUUUCAAAUAAAACAUCAUAGCAGCUUGUACUGUUGGUCUCU
RNAcentral lists this long non-coding RNA (1599 nucleotides) under Monodelphis domestica (gray short-tailed opossum). RNAcentral's name for it is "lncRNA (ENSMODG00000007251.4)". The record is from RNAcentral. Lineage: Eukaryota; Metazoa; Chordata; Mammalia; Didelphimorphia; Didelphidae.